GGCAUGGAGGAGCGCGGCGAUGCCGAGCCGACCGCCGGCUGCGGCAGUCUGGGCCCGGGCGGCGUUCGCAGCGGCGGCGGCGCUCCCUCGUGGGCCCCUGAGGACGCCUGGAUGGGCACCCACCCUAAGUACUUAGAAAUGAUGGAAUUAGAUAUAGGAGAUGCCACCCAAGUCUAUAUAGCAUUCUUGGUUUACCUGGACCUCAUGGAGAGUAAAAGUUGGCAUGAAGUAAGCUGUGUGGGAUUACCAGAACUCCAGCUCAUCUGCCUUGUUGGUACAGAGCUAGAAGGGGAAGGGUUACAGACUGUGGUGCCUGUACCCAUCACUGCUUCCCUCAGCCAUAACAGGCUGUGCAGAGCAUUUAUCUAAAUAUGGAAUGGUGCACCACUAUGGACAGGACUGGAAGAAGAUAAAAUUUUCUUUCCAGUCAAUUCUGUUGCAUCUUCUCGUGAACACUGGGUACUGUUCUUAGAGUGGCAAGACUGGGCAGCAAAAAGAAAUGAUAUCGAGUUGCAGAGCUUGCCAAAGUGGAAAUCAAUCACUGCAAGGCCUUUUAAGGUCACGAGGCCCAGGUCUCAAUGCUCUGGACACUGGCUCUGCCUGUGACCUCAGGUGAACCACAAAAUGACGGUCAGCAGCUCGUACAGCCCUUGGGAGGCAGGGCGGUGUAGUGGAAAGAGCACAGGCUUCAGCAGCUCCAGACUGGAUGUCCUGCCCUGACACUUAUUUAUGGGAGACCCUGGGCACAGAAGAAAGGCCAUAUGAGGACACAGUGUAAAGGCAGCUGUCUUCCAGCCAGGAAGAGACGCCUCACCAGAAACUGAAUUUUCCUGAACCAUGAUUUGGGUCUUCUAGUGUCCAGAACUGUGAGAAAAUAAAUUUCAGUUGUUUAAGCCACCCCAUCUGUGGUAGUUUGUUAUGGCAGCCCGAGCAGAUGACUACGAUGGUAACUCAUGGAAAGGGCUUUGGUUCAACGCCUGGCACAAGGUAGAGAUUCGCUAAGUGUAGCUGUUACUAUUAUUAUUGCUUCUAAUAAAACACCCACCUUUCUAGGAGAGAGAGAGAAUUCUGGAAACUCUAAUACCAAACAGUCUGCAAAUCCACUUUAAGCUUCUGAUGGGAAAUUGAGAGCAUCAGAAAGAAAGCAAACCACAUUCACUGAAAUUUUCCAAUCCUAUUUCUGUAUAUAAGUCAUAAUGGUUUGUGUCUAAUAACAUGCCUGCAUCUUCCUUCUGAGGAACUUAAUGUGUUUACAUCCUGAGGAUGAGUUAACGGAACAUCUUAGAUGGCCCGGUGCCUGACACUAGGACGGUGCACAUGAGGCACUACAAAAAUAAGGUGCUGUGUCAGGCACUAGGGAUAUAAAUGUGAGCAGGAAAGACAUGAAUGACCCUGUCCUCCCAGAGUGUCCUGCCCAUAAGGAAAGACAGCAAUUAAAUCUGGCUUUACAAGAAAUAUACCAUCACAAUAUGGGGAAACCAAUGGAAUAGAAGAAAGGAAGACGGUGGCCCAAUCUUCAUGUAAACACACUAACGACAGACUCAAGGUGAUGUGACCACAUAUAUAGCUUGAAGAUCUUCUGUGUUAAUCUGGGUGAGAGAAUAUGUUUCAUGAAAGGACCUGGAGAGCUGUACUCAUGCUGGGCCAUUCCUUGCUUCUCCCGAGUCUUGUGAUUGCUGGUUUCAUGAAAUUAUAUGUAAAGCAUGAUACUGGCCUCACCCUCAAUGUUUCCAGUUUCUCCAGCAUGUGCAGAGCUCUCCUGACUCUGGACUCAGAGCAUCCAGAGGACUCGACUUUCCUACUCAUGGGACCCUGCGUACACUGUCUCGUGCCAUGUCUCGAGUCAUUACCCUACAUCAAUCAUCGUUCUGGGAAGAUGGGAGCCAGUUGGUGGUAAUAGUGGGUGCCUUGCCAAGGAGUUUGGAGGUUGUAAGUUACUUGGUAAAGGAGAUCCAACCCUGGUGUUUAACUGUGAACAGUGAGACAACAUCCUUGUCCUCGUAGACCUUACAUUCUCUUGGGGGCAGUAACAGAAAAAGAAAGAAAAAAGUUCCAUGAAGAAAAUAAAACAAGAUGAUGAUGCGACAGUGAGUGCAGAAGAGUGGACAAGCUAUUUUAGCAGGAUUGACCAGGGAAAUCCUCUCUCAGAGGUGACAGCCUGAGAGUUGGAUGAUGAGAAAGUUAUAGGGAUCAAGAAAACAAAACAAACAAAACCCCCAAACAAGAACGAGAAUAAUCAUUGAUGAAGGAGAGCAAUAAGAUUCAGUACGAAGACACUUAGAGCAGGAAGGGACCUGCUCCAUCUGCAAGUCUGUCUCACUCAUUUCCUGUCUCCAGAAAGGAAACUGAAGCCAGAGAGAUAAAGAGGCUGACGCAAGGUCACAAAGCUAAUUAAUAGCAUAGUCAGAAAGAGACUCUUAACCUCUACUUCCAACUUCAUCCCCUACUGCGUAAGUCUCUCUUAACAUCUUGAAUCUCAUUUUCUUCUUAGUAAAAUGGGUUAUUGUGAGAAAUUCAAAAUGUAACAUAGACAAGGUGUUCAAAAUGUCAGGUAUUUCCAUUACUGGAUUUGUUUUAAUCCUGUUACAGUGUACUCCUCAAGUAGUUAACAAUGUUAUUACUUUAGUAAUACAAAAGCAUAAUAUAAAUAUUUAGUAACUUGGUAAUACAAAAAGCAUGAGAGGCAAUGAGCAUUCAACUCCUGAUUAUUUUAGUCACCGAUAUGUGGGUUAAGUCUCAGCCCGGGGCCUCUGCUGUCAACAUCAAGCACCACCUGCCAUCUGCCUGGAGGCAGCUACUGGAACUGCUGUUGGGGAAGAGAUAACCAGCCCCCUACACUGCUGGCCUUGCAAGCCCCACCUUAUUAAGUGGUGGCAAGUAUCACAGUCCUAAGAUGCUUCUGAGGAGAGAAAAAUGAGGCUGUGGACUUCCCAAUAGACACAGCUGUCAUCAAGCUCUUUACGGAAAGCUGCUGUAGACAGGGGCUGAGAAGAAGAUGAAGGCUUUAACAGGAUGUGAAAGUUGAAGUGAUAAAAAGGGUGCACUAAAAGCACAUGGCACAGGAAAGGCUUUUCUACAUCCAGAUUGAGAAUCAGACCUGCAUUUCGUUACUCGGCAUUUUGUAUUGUACCCCCUCCCCCAACACACCUCUGCCCUUUGAGCUGGUGUUUUUGUAAAUAUUUGGAUAGGACAAAGAAUAUAAUAAACAGGGUCAUGGCUUUGCCAGAGUGACAGUCACUGUUGGAAUAUACAUACUGGCUGUCCUUAACUUCUCCAUGUCACUUGAUUUUUCUGAUCACACUUUUGGGGUUUAACCCAGGGGCUCGGACCCCAAGCCCAUGCUGUAGCAUUCUGUUGUGUUGUAUCUGAGUUUGGUGAUGAUGGAGCCACCCGUGUAAUUAUCAUUAAUCAAUAGUUUGAUAUGACUAUCGCAUGAUUGCCAGAGUGACAAUGAAAAUGAGGCCUUGCACAACUGUGGGUUGCAUGUGAAAGAGUGACCUGAGAGCCAUGUCUGAGCCUCACUGCCCACUGUCAUUACCUCACUCUUCCAUCCCCACCUGGCCAGGGCUAGGACCCUCUUCCCAGACUGCAGCACCCUCACCUCCCAUCAUUCUGAACAGCAGAGAGUCCCAUCAGGAUAAUGCCCCAUUCACUUGUCAGCCCUCCUGUGCUCACCAAGGGCCCUGACAGUGGACACAGUGGCAUACAUGAAGCUGCAGAGGCAGAGGGUCCAAGUCUUUGCCCCAACUCUAGCAGGUCUACAUUCCAGAUCUUGCUCUACCACUUAAUUUCUUCACUAUGAGCUUGGAAAAAUUAGUUCCUUUCUCUGAACCUCCAUUUCCUCAGAUGUGAGGCUGGAAUAUGUCUAUCUCAUUGGGGUCUAAGAAUUUUAAAAAAUCACAUUAUUGUAUAUAAAAAUGCUUUGAAAAAUAGAAAGCACUACUCAAGCACAGCUAUUAUUCAAUAGUCUACAUACACCGCAUGGUACU
Molecule: RNA transcript, 3989 nt
Organism: Cynocephalus volans (Philippine flying lemur)
Lineage: Eukaryota; Metazoa; Chordata; Mammalia; Dermoptera; Cynocephalidae
Gene name: tRNA-splicing endonuclease subunit Sen15-like
Exons: 10
Source: RefSeq, a predicted model, not a curated record